This 569-nucleotide ribosomal RNA is filed under the name uncultured bacterium. RNAcentral's name for it is "partial 16S ribosomal RNA". It matches the Rfam family "Bacterial small subunit ribosomal RNA", at positions 355 to 912 of the family's 1533-position model. The record is from RNAcentral.
UGGGGAAUAUUGCACAAUGGGCGCAAGCCUGAUGCAGCCAUGCCGCGUGUGUGAAGAAGGCCUUCGGGUUGUAAAGCACUUUCAGCGAGGAGGAAGGUGGUGAACUUAAUACGUUCAUCAAUUGACGUUACUCGCAGAAGAAGCACCGGCUAACUCCGUGCCAGCAGCCGCGGUAAUACGGAGGGUGCAAGCGUUAAUCGGAAUUACUGGGCAUAAAGCGCACGCAGGCGGUUUGUUAAGUCAGAUGUGAAAUCCCCGGGCUCAACCUGGGAACUGCAUUUGAAACUGGCAAGCUAGAGUCUCGUAGAGGGGGGUAGAAUUCCAGGUGUAGCGGUGAAAUGCGUAGAGAUCUGGAGGAAUACCGGUGGCGAAGGCGGCCCCCUGGACGAAGACUGACGCUCAGGUGCGAAAGCGUGGGGAGCAAAACAGGAUUAGAUACCCCUGGUAGUCCACGCUGUAAAACGAUGUCGAUUUUGGAGGUUGUGCCCUUGAGGCGUGGCUUCCGGAGCUAACGCGUUAAGUCGACCGCCUGGGGAGUACGGCCGCAAGGUUAAAACUUAAAGGAAUUG